CGCUCUAGUUGGAACACGCUUUUGUCAAACAUGUCUUCUGAAAGGCAAAAGCACGACUACCAUCUGAGGAACAAAGACAAAUCCUCAAUGGUACCCGAUAGGGCACAAACUGAGCCUCCUCAGCAAAACAGGCAAGCUGAGGGGUUUGAGGAGGCUCAAACUGAUUUGCCCCCUCGGACAUCCAUCCCUCCCUCUCUAGAGGCGAGGUUGAUUAACUUCAUGGAUACCAUGGAACAAAGAGUUAACAAC
RNAcentral lists this long non-coding RNA (249 nucleotides) under Zostera marina. RNAcentral describes it as "long non-coding RNA (ZMAR_LNC002870)". Lineage: Eukaryota; Viridiplantae; Streptophyta; Magnoliopsida; Alismatales; Zosteraceae. The record is from RNAcentral.